GUGACUUACUUACAAAUGUACAAGGCAAAGUUUAGCCAGAUUAAUUUAGCAAUUCAUUUGUUGAGAGCAAAUAGCACACAGACUGCAAACAGAGGAGUAACCCCCCCAUGCAGAACCCGUACUCUUUUUGUCUGAAUGCUAGGGACCACAAUGUUGGCGGGGUGACUUAUGGCAUACAUUCUCGAGAGGCACAGGUCUUCACGCGUCGUCCCGCUUGUAAAACCUUGUGAGCGCGGCCUGCGGCGAGACGAGCGAUCCCGGUGGUCUCCUUUCGGGCCUCCGUCCUGCAUCACGAGCAGGCAAGCCUCCACGCGGGUAUUAGCCGUUCUUUCAGAUGCACAGCCAGGAGCGGUGAAGAAUGAUAACACGUGAAAAAGCUCAGUAAAGCACGGACCACCGAAAAUGGAACACGCCUGAGGAUGGAAAAACACUUCAAGAAUCCUCGCCGGAUCUUUGAGUUUAUUGAGUGCAAAACUGCUGAGGAUCAGGAGACGCAAAAACAAUGAGACACAACUUUCAGAAUGACGUUGCUCUGCUACAAGUUAACUGCACUUCUGUUCAUCCAGAAUGAGGUUUAUUCUAUUAUUUGGCAUUUGUCUUAAGAGUCUGUUUUUGCAUCAUUGAGUCUUUUAAAUUGUUGUGACAAGAGAAAUUACAAAUGUACUUGAUGCAGGUCCUGGCGUGCUUCAAAUAAUCCAAGCGAAUAUCACCACAUUCAUUUUACACACUGUAUGAUUGACAAUGCCACUGCAAUACAACACAUUUCACUGAUAAGGGAGUUUGUUAUCUGCAGAGGAAAUGCAUGAAAUUAACUGCCUGAAUAAAGAAAGUUUCCAAAGAGAAGUAUACUGUUCCACUUGUGAGGAGCAUCUCUUCCCCUUGCAGCCUGCAGCUUUUGGCUUUGUACAUCGCCUGUGACAACAACUUUCCUGAUAAGCCCUCACAAGUCUCUUGUUCCACCAACGCUCAACCAGGAUUAAAAUGAAAAAAGGCACCGGAUAAGCCUUUAGAAAUUAGCCUGUGGGGGAAAUGACAUAAUACGGAACAAUGAGGGAAGAUCAACACUACACAUUGAGUCCCAGCCCGGUAACCUGCCUUCACACCUUAUAGUCCUGCACCAACACUGCAGCACAAAGAGGCACAGCUCCUCUCCAGCCCACUGAAAACUCCUGUCCUCGUUGGUGUGAUUACGAAUGGCC
Gasterosteus aculeatus aculeatus (three-spined stickleback) is the source of this 1199-nucleotide long non-coding RNA. The record is from Ensembl. Lineage: Eukaryota; Metazoa; Chordata; Actinopteri; Perciformes; Gasterosteidae.